RNAcentral lists this ribosomal RNA (253 nucleotides) under uncultured microorganism. RNAcentral describes it as "partial 16S ribosomal RNA". It matches the Rfam family "Bacterial small subunit ribosomal RNA", at positions 524 to 776 of the family's 1533-position model. The record is from RNAcentral.
UACGGAGGGUGCAAGCGUUAAUCGGAAUUACUGGGCGUAAAGCGUACGUAGGCGGCUUGUUAAGCAAGAUGUGAAAUCCCCGGGCUCAACCUGGGAAUGGCAUUUUGAACUGGCAGGCUCGAGUUCUGAAGAGGGUGGUAGAAUUUCCAGUGUAGCGGUGAAAUGCGUAGAUAUUGGAAGGAACACCAGUAGCGAAGGCGGCCAUCUGGCUGAUAACUGACGCUGAGGUGCGAGAGCGUGGGGAGCAAACAGG